Molecule: small nuclear RNA, 86 nt
Organism: Otolemur garnettii (small-eared galago)
Lineage: Eukaryota; Metazoa; Chordata; Mammalia; Primates; Galagidae
Source: Ensembl
GCCACUUUGGUAGCAUGAACUACAAUUGGCAUGAUACAGAGAAGAUUAGCAUAGAGCCUGCACAAACUGAAGCAUUCCGUUUUUAU